Molecule: unclassified non-coding RNA, 348 nt
Filed under: Hevea brasiliensis (rubber tree)
Lineage: Eukaryota; Viridiplantae; Streptophyta; Magnoliopsida; Malpighiales; Euphorbiaceae
Source: RNAcentral
GCCAAUUUACUGAUCUCUUCCUUCAGUCCCCAGUCAAAGAAGUGAUCAUAAAAUAUGGAAGGAACUCCAGGAUGAGUGAGUAUGUAAGCGUAUCCCAGCAUGACUUUAUCAGAUGGGAAUGGCCAAAGGUGUUGAGUAGAUCCAGUGUCGUGAUUAUCGAUGAAGGUCACUGCAUUUUGUGGGGAUAGUCCAAUCAAUCCUGGAGGCUUUCCAUUUGAGUCUUUCAACCUCCACAAUUCUCCUUGCACAGCAGCUUGAAGAAUCCCUUUUGUUGUGAAAUCAAAUGCUGUCACAACCCCUCCAGCAGCUUCAAUCCAAUCUUUAAGUGCACCUCGGUGUCCGUCCUGG